GGAUUGUGGCUCAGCGGUAGAGUUCUCAUCUAACACGUGCAAGGCCCAGGGUUCAAUCCUCAGCACCA
RNAcentral lists this transfer RNA (68 nucleotides) under Marmota monax (woodchuck). RNAcentral's name for it is "tRNA.Val". The record is from RNAcentral. Lineage: Eukaryota; Metazoa; Chordata; Mammalia; Rodentia; Sciuridae.